Molecule: ribosomal RNA, 460 nt
Filed under: uncultured bacterium
Lineage: Bacteria
Description: partial 16S ribosomal RNA
Rfam family: Bacterial small subunit ribosomal RNA
Source: RNAcentral
CCUACGGGAGGCAGCAGUGAGGAAUAUUGGUCAAUGGACGAGAGUCUGAACCAGCCAAGUAGCGUGAAGGAUGACUGCCCUAUGGGUUGUAAACUUCUUUUAUCUGGGAAUACAAUGUUGCACUUGUGGGAGUUUGUAUGUACCUUAUGAAUAAGGAUCGGCUAACUCCGUGCCAGCAGCCGCGGUAAUACGGAGGAUCCGAGCGUUAUCCGGAUUUCUUGGGUUUAAAGGGAGCGUAGGUGGGUUGUUAAGUCAGUUGUGAAAGUUUGCGGCUCAACCGUAAAAUUGCAGUUGAAACUGGCAGUCUUGAGUACAGUAGAGGUGGGCGGAAGUCGUGGUGUAGCGGUGAAAUGCUUAGAUAUCGCGAAGAACCCCGAUUGCGAAGGCAGUGCACUGGACUGCAACUGACACUGAGGCUCGAAAGUGUGGGUAUCAAACAGGAUUAGAUACCCCGGUAGUC